This 358-nucleotide ribosomal RNA is filed under the name uncultured bacterium. RNAcentral's name for it is "partial 16S ribosomal RNA". It matches the Rfam family "Bacterial small subunit ribosomal RNA", at positions 338 to 707 of the family's 1533-position model. The record is from RNAcentral.
CCUACGGGGGGCAGCAGUCGAGAAUCAUUCACAAUGGGGGAAACCCUGAUGGUGCGACGCCGCGUGGGGGAAUGAAGGUCUUCGGAUUGUAAACCUCUGUCAUGUGGGAGCAAAUUAAAAAGAUAGUACCACAAGAGGAAGAGACGGCUAACUCUGUGCCAGCAGCCGCGGUAAUACAGAGGUCGCAAGCGUUGUUCGGAAUCACUGGGCGUAAAGGGUGGGUAGGCUGUUUCGUAAGUCGUGUGUGAAAGGCGCGGGCUCAAACCGCGGACGGCACAUGAUACUGCGAGACUAGAGAAAGGGAGGGGGAAGCGGAAUGCGCGGUGUAGCAGUGAAAUGCGUAGAUAUCGAGAGGAAC